Molecule: ribosomal RNA, 252 nt
Filed under: uncultured bacterium
Lineage: Bacteria
Description: partial 16S ribosomal RNA
Rfam family: Bacterial small subunit ribosomal RNA
Source: RNAcentral
UACGUAGGGUGCAAGCGUUAUCCGGAAUUAUUGGGCGUAAAGAGCUCGUAGGCGGUUUGUCGCGUCUGCUGUGAAAACUGGGGGCUCAACCCCCAGCCUGCAGUGGGUACGGGCAGACUAGAGUGCGGUAGGGGAGAUUGGAAUUCCUGGUGUAGCGGUGGAAUGCGCAGAUAUCAGGAGGAACACCAGAGGCGAAGGCGGAUCUCUGGGCCGUACUGACGCUGAGGACGACGAAGCGUGGGGAGCAACAGG